This 521-nucleotide ribosomal RNA is filed under the name uncultured bacterium. RNAcentral's name for it is "bacterial SSU rRNA". It matches the Rfam family "Bacterial small subunit ribosomal RNA", at positions 988 to 1509 of the family's 1533-position model. The record is from RNAcentral.
CCAGAGAACUUUCCAGAGAUGGAUUGGUGCCUUCGGGAACUCUGAGACAGGUGCUGCAUGGCUGUCGUCAGCUCGUGUUGUGAAAUGUUGGGUUAAGUCCCGCAACGAGCGCAACCCUUAUCCUUUGUUGCCAGCGGUUAGGCCGGGAACUCAAAGGAGACUGCCAGUGAUAAACUGGAGGAAGGUGGGGAUGACGUCAAGUCAUCAUGGCCCCUACGAGUAGGGCUACACACGUGCUACAAUGGCGCAUACAAAGAGAAGCGACCUCGCGAGAGCAAGCGGACCUCAUAAAGUGCGUCGUAGUCCGGAUUGGAGUCUGCAACUCGACUCCAUGAAGUCGGAAUCGCUAGUAAUCGUGGAUCAGAAUGCCACGGUGAAUACGUUCCCGGGCCUUGUACACACCGCCCGUCACACCAUGGGAGUGGGUUGCAAAAGAAGUAGGUAGCUUAACCUUCGGGAGGGCGCUUACCACUUUGUGAUUCAUGACUGGGGUGAAGUCGUAACAAGGUAAGCGUAGUGCU